RNAcentral lists this long non-coding RNA (462 nucleotides) under Citrus sinensis (sweet orange). RNAcentral describes it as "long non-coding RNA (CSIN_LNC004948)". The record is from RNAcentral. Lineage: Eukaryota; Viridiplantae; Streptophyta; Magnoliopsida; Sapindales; Rutaceae.
GCGAGAUUUUUGGUCCACUGAUAUGCUGCCACGUUACCAUCAACAGUACAUAAGAAUUUUAGUCCAAUAGGAUCGUGACACCUCAUCAGUCAAUGCCACAUCAUCGGUCAAUGCCACGUCAUCGAUCUGUCUAUGUGAACAGUGUCGUGAACAGUAACGUAGACAGUACCGUGCACGUGAAUAGUACCGUACAUGUGAACAAUGCCAUUUCCCUUUUAUGCUCCUCCUAAGGUUUUCGACCAUCCUGAGUUCAAAAGUGAUGUCCGUUUUACCAUUUGAUCUCUCGUUUAUUGUGAAAUGACUAUGAUGCCCCUAAAAUACAUAAAAUACUUAAUUAAAAUAAAACACACAUAAUUAAAUUACAAGAACCUUAAAUACAUAAAAGUAAGGGUUGUUAGUAAGACUUGAAAUGUAAAAUAACGAUUUUCUCCUUUAUAAAUAUAUAUUUUCUAACACUCAACA